RNAcentral lists this unclassified non-coding RNA (391 nucleotides) under Hevea brasiliensis (rubber tree). The record is from RNAcentral. Lineage: Eukaryota; Viridiplantae; Streptophyta; Magnoliopsida; Malpighiales; Euphorbiaceae.
GCAUGUGUUUUGCCACCUCGUCCAUGUAAGUAUGGUCUUUCCAUUUUGUGUUUGCUUGCAAAUUGCACAUAUGAUGCAUGGGCAUGGACAUCUAUGUGGUUGCUCUAAGAUUUGUGGUUUGGUUUCUUCACCUACUGUUAAUGGUUGUUUUAUGUUUUUCCUUUGAUUUUCUUUAUGCUACGUGUUUAUAAAUUGAUUGAAAGCAUGAUGUGCUGAUGUGUGGUGUGCUCUUUAAUAAAAUUGGCUAGUUGUACGCUCAAAUAGUUUUUAGACUUCUUUGUUUGAUGAUUUUAUCCAAAUAGCUAACUAAAUACGUUGAUUUACAUGAUGCCCAAAUUUUGCUAAAGUGUGGUUUGGACUAUGCGCAUGUUGUUUACUGGUAUCAUCAAUU